Molecule: ribosomal RNA, 492 nt
Filed under: uncultured bacterium
Lineage: Bacteria
Description: partial 16S ribosomal RNA
Rfam family: Bacterial small subunit ribosomal RNA
Source: RNAcentral
AGUGAACGCUGGCGGUAGGCCUAACACAUGCAAGUCGAACGGCAGCACAGUAAGAGCUUGCUCUUACGGGUGGCGAGUGGCGGAUGAGUGGUGAAUACAUCGGAAUCUACUUGUUCGUGGGGGAUAACGUAGGGAAACUUACGCUAAUACCGCAUACUACCUACGGGUGAAAGCAGGGGAUCUUCGGAUCUUGCGCGAUUGAAUGAGCCGAUGUCGGAUUAGCUAGUUGGCGGGGUACAGGCCCACCAAGGCGACGAUUCGUAGCUGGUCUGAGAGGCUGAUCGGCCACACUGGAACUGAGACACGGUCCAGACUCCUACGGGAGGCCGCAGUGGGGAAUAUUGGACAAUGGGCGCAAGGCUGAUCGAGCCAUGCCGCGUGGGUUAAGCAGGCCUUCGGGUUGUAAAGCCCUUUUGUUGGGAAAGAAAAGCAGCAGGUUCAAACCCCGCUGUUAUGACGGUACCCAAAGAAUAAGCCCCGGCUAAAUUAGUG